This 492-nucleotide ribosomal RNA is filed under the name uncultured bacterium. RNAcentral describes it as "partial 16S ribosomal RNA". It matches the Rfam family "Bacterial small subunit ribosomal RNA", at positions 29 to 507 of the family's 1533-position model. The record is from RNAcentral.
AGUGAACGCUGGCGGCAGGCCUAACACAUGCAAGUCGAACGGAAGCACAGUAAGAGCUUGCCCUUACGGGUGGCGAGUGGCGGAUGGGUGAGGCAUGCAUCGCCUUCUUCUUUUUCGGGGGGGAUAACGUAGGGCAACUUAUGCUAAUACCGCAUACGACCUACGGGUGAGAGCAGGGGAUCUUCGGACUUUGCGCGUCUGUUUUAGCCGAGGUCGGAUUAGCUAGUUGGCGAGGUAAAGGCCCACCAAGGCAACGAUGCGUAGCAGAUCUGAGAGGAUGAUCGGCCACACUGGAACUGAGACACGGUCCAGACUCCUACGGGAGGCAGCAGUAGGGAAUAUUGGGCAAUGGGCGCAAGCCUGACGCAGCCACGCCGCGUGAGUGAAGAAGGCCUUCGGGUUGUAAAGCCCUGUUGUUGGGGAAGAAAAGCUGCGGAAUAAACCGCGGCUGUUCUGACGGUACCCAAAGAGUAAGCACCGGCUAACUUCGUG